GACGAACGUUGGCGGCGUGCUUAAUACAUGCAAGUCAACUGAAGCACCGGUAGCAAUACUGGUGUGGAGGUGGCGCACGGGUGAGUAACACGUAGGUAAUCUGCCUUCAGGUCUGACACAACCCGGGAAACCGGGCUAAUAUCAGAUGAUGCAGCGGCUUGACAUCAAGACAGUUGUUAAAGCUUCGGCGCCUGGAGAUGAGCCUGCGUCUGAUUAGCUAGUUGGCGGGUAACGGCCACCAAGGCAACGAUCAGUAGCUGGUCUGAGAGGAUGAUCAGCCACACUGGAACUGAGACACGGUCCAGACUCCUACGGGAGGCAG
RNAcentral lists this ribosomal RNA (322 nucleotides) under uncultured bacterium. RNAcentral's name for it is "bacterial SSU rRNA". It matches the Rfam family "Bacterial small subunit ribosomal RNA", at positions 28 to 351 of the family's 1533-position model. The record is from RNAcentral.